This 253-nucleotide ribosomal RNA is filed under the name uncultured bacterium. Its description in RNAcentral is "partial 16S ribosomal RNA". It matches the Rfam family "Bacterial small subunit ribosomal RNA", at positions 524 to 776 of the family's 1533-position model. The record is from RNAcentral.
UACGUAGGGUGCAAGCGUUAAUCGGAAUUACUGGGCGUAAAGCGUGCGCAGGCGGUUGUGCAAGACAGAGGUGAAAUCCCCGGGCUUAACCUGGGAAUGGCCUUUGUGACUGCAUGGCUAGAGUGUGGCAGAGGGGGGUAGAAUUCCACGUGUAGCAGUGAAAUGCGUAGAGAUGUGGAGGAAUACCGAUGGCGAAGGCAGCCCCCUGGGAUAACACUGACGCUCAUGCACGAAAGCGUGGGGAGCAAACAGG